AGUACAUGUCGUUUCUAAUGACAUCUUUUAGAUGAAUGAUUCGUGUAAAUAUGCUAGUUCUUUCAUGAUUAUGUGAUAGGUGGGCAUGGCCGUUCUUAUUCGUGGAGUGAUCUGCUGCUUAAUUGCGUUCACUAUGGCCCCAAAGUUAGCAAGUUAUCCAAUCAUGACCUUCGUCGACCCCUCACCUUUGAGUGCGCGUCCUAGCUUAGAGUACAUGGUGUAAAUGGACUUGUUUUGGGUACCCAGAAAGCAACGAACGUGACCGCAACGUCUUGUUGUCUCUCUUUUGACAGUUAUGGGUAUCCCAGUCAUGUGCUUAUACUUUUAUGUGUAAAUACGUACGACACAGAGACUAGAUACCAAACUAGGCGUACCGCUGUAUCAUUUCUUUAAACCAGAGGAAGGUUGCGGCAAUAACAGGUCUGUGAUGCA
This 432-nucleotide ribosomal RNA is filed under the name Neogloboquadrina incompta. RNAcentral describes it as "bacterial SSU rRNA". It matches the Rfam family "Eukaryotic small subunit ribosomal RNA", at positions 1238 to 1490 of the family's 1831-position model. Lineage: Eukaryota; Foraminifera; Rotaliida; Globorotaliidae. The record is from RNAcentral.